Long non-coding RNA from Anopheles gambiae (African malaria mosquito), 2283 nucleotides. RefSeq lists it as uncharacterized. NCBI's taxonomy places the organism in Eukaryota, Metazoa, Arthropoda, Insecta, Diptera, Culicidae. The record is from RefSeq and is a predicted model, not a curated record. The transcript is spliced from 3 exons.
GCGCGCUGUGCGCUUUCCUUCAUUCGGAUUUGGUGCACCCGAAUCAAAACAAAAAUUUGAACACAUCAAAUUCUUAAUAUUUUUAUAUCGUCAUAUUUGAAAGAGCCGUCUAACUGCGUGGAUCCCGUUGUUGAUGUUCGAUACAGCAAAAAUAAACAUUGAAAAAAAAACAGCGCAAAUCACACAUUUAAGAUAAAUGGUGAAAGAUAAGCGCAGCUUCAUUUCAAUGUGCACAACACUUCAACACUUAGCGAAACUUCGAUCGCCCGGGACAUAGGCUAACACGCGCGCAGCCUUUCACGGCGAACGCUUGAGCUGAACUGACGAUUUCGUGUGGUGGCAAGAAGGGGAGCGCACAGAGGAACACUCGCUGCACUAGUGCGAGCGAGACACCGAUACCCGUAUGCCGCUGCGAGAAAACCAAACUGAGCGCGCAGGCUGAAAGUGAACGCACACAUUCACACAUGUGUAAUUGUGUGAGUGCAAAAACUGUGUAGAAACCAAAACACGCUCACGCCUCCGCGUAAUUCCGCGUAUUUCCAACCGUCUCCCCAUGCUUCUACAUGCCCCUCGCCUGAAAGUCGCACACUUUUUCAUUCUCAUUGCUAGUAGGGUAGUGUUUCUCGGCUGAAGCUUGCCGGUGAUGUGCGCGUUGAAGAGCUACGUAGUGUGCUGUUGAAUCUGAAAGUGGAUGGAAGAGAAAUUGUUGAGUGAUAACAAAUCUUAUAGUUAUUUUGUGGUUUUGAUCCAAGUGAUACUGUUCACCAACCUGCACCUUAACAACCUACUUUGUGGGGCUGAUUGAAACCCGACUUCAACAUUGCGUGCUUCACCAGCGUUCAAUAUAGCUUUUUAUAUUUUGAUGAUCCAGCUUUGUCUGCAUAGUGUUUUGUAAGGGGUUACCUGAAUCAUUGGAAGAUAUUAUGCCUUUUUCGAUUAUAACGACGCAUGGCCCAAAAGGCUUUUCUGAACUUACACUAGUGCAUGAUGGUUGGAUCCAGAGUACCAGUGCUGGGAAAAGUUAUGUGUAUUGGCCUAAAGGAGACAUAGCUAAGCUGAUCAAAGUUGAAACAAGUACUCCUUCAUCUGGAUGGACGAGACAAGCGUGUGUAGUUCAAAAAUCAAAUAUUUUAUCUUUACAACUAGGUAUAGCUAUACUUAGCGAUAUGUCAGGAGAAUCGAGUGAUGAUUCUUGUAUCAUAAAAUCUGUAAAAACUAUGUAUAGGCAGCGAUUUGGCCAGAGAGCAUUAGAAAAUGCUAACAAAGUUAACGCCUUGUCUGAAAGUUGUAUACAGUUAGAAACAGGCACUUUAGCUACAGGUUGCUCACAAUUCAAGACAGACACUUCAGCUAAAGGUGGUUCACAGUUAGAGAGAGUCAUUUUACCUUAUGGUUGUGCACAAUUAGAUACAAAUACUUCACCCAAAGGUUGUUCACAGUUAGAAACAGACACUACGAAUGAAUUCAUGGAAUCAGCACAGCCGAGUGGUGCACCAGAAACCACUAGAAAGGAUUUUCCUUCAGUUCCUUCUCAAUUAGAGCAGAAUAAUAGCUUUUCUCCUACAAAUCAGAUGGAAAAUGCAAUCACAAGUUUGAUCGCUGUUGUAGGUGGUUUAAUUCAACAAAUCAGCGACAUAAAUUCAAACAAACUGAUAGGAUUAGAUAAAAUUGAUAAUUUAACAAAAGUACUAGAGCAGCAGGUCGUACCAACGUUAGGUGGUCUUGUAGAGGAAUUUAAAGAGUUAAAAAAAAAGUUUAUUUAAAUACGGUACAAAUGGAUCUGUUCAUUAACAGUUUGGAGCAAGAAAACAGAAAAAGAAAAAAACCAUCAUUUUCAAUGGAUCCGAUCGAUAACCAUAAAGAUUUAAAGGAUUUUGACAAAAGUCUUGAGGAAGACGAUUUUAAAACAUCUGUUAUUGAUUGGCUUACCCAUAACAUAUGUGAAACAAACAGUAAUAAUAGAAUGUUGGAUGCUUUGGAUAUGUUACUGAAUCGUUCAUUUUGUACGCAAAUUAGUUGCCUUGUCCUGGGCAAAGAAAACUCGAAAAUACCGAUAAAAAUGUUUCCUAAUUUCUUAGAAGUUUUUAGAAAGAUAGGUACAACCCAUUUGACUUUGGUAACAGAUCAAUGCUUGAAAGAUUUUUUUCAUAAAAAAAUUAAAGCAUAGCCAGGAAAGAUGCAUGAUUCAAGGGUUACGAAAACUUACUUCUCACAACAAAAGAUGUUGAUGUUAAGAAGUUUUUGAAUAUAUUUAUUAAUUAAUAAUAAAAAGAUUAAAAACUA